CAGUAGCCACGGUAAUACGGAGGGUGCAAGCGUUAUCCGGAUUCACUGGGUUUAAAGGGUGCGUAGGUGGGCAGGUAAGUCAGUGGUGAAAUCUCCGGGCUUAACCCGGAAACUGCCGUUGAUACUAUCUGUCUUGAAUAUAGUGGAGGUGAGCGGAAUAUGUCAUGUAGCGGUGAAGUGCUUAGAUAUGACAUGGAACACCAAUUGCGAAGGCAGCUCGCUACACUAUCAUUGACACUGAGGCACGAAAGCGUGGGGAUCAAACAGGAUUAGAUACCCAGUAGUCCCUGUCUCUUAUACA
Molecule: ribosomal RNA, 301 nt
Filed under: uncultured bacterium
Lineage: Bacteria
Description: partial 16S ribosomal RNA
Rfam family: Bacterial small subunit ribosomal RNA
Source: RNAcentral